Molecule: non-coding RNA, 877 nt
Organism: Lepisosteus oculatus (spotted gar)
Lineage: Eukaryota; Metazoa; Chordata; Actinopteri; Semionotiformes; Lepisosteidae
Source: RefSeq, a predicted model, not a curated record
CAACAUGAAUUUUGAAAUUUAUAGCUCAAUACAGCUUUAAUACACUGCUUUUCCCAUCCACCCUGAUACAAUACAACAGUCAUUCUGAGAAAAAGGGCAAUGCAAUCUUCUGGAUGAGGCACUAAGAGAACCUCCCCCUGCUUUGAGAUCUCUGAAUAAGGGUCACUUUCAGGAACUGCAGGACUGUACAUCCAGGCAUAAUUAUGAGCAGGCUGCAAUAUUUUCAUCAAGAAUGAUGCUUACAGCCGUAAAACAUUUAGAAUUAUUUGCUAACAAGAUGUUUCCUGGAUACUGCAUAUUUUUCUCUUGCAAAUCUAGAGAGACACAGUUUCAAGACAUGCCAUCAUGGUCAGACCAACCCCUGUUUAUAGAUUACAUUGCAAACAGACACACUUUCAUUUAUAUUCCUUAAGAGGUUUGAAUGUCUCAGUAAUCCAGAAAAGUUUAUCAUUAUGUCACAACGUAUGGCUAACGAAAAAGUCUCUUCCAGUUUGACUUAUGUAUUUUCCCCAGCGAGCCAGCAGCAAGGGCAGAGACACUAGGCUGUGGAAGAUGGACUGUUUAUCUGCUGAGUGCCUCUGCUGUACGACUGGCCUGUAGCUCCAGCAGCAUCAAGCAUCAAGAUGAAAAGAAAGAGCUGGGGAUGCUGUACUGCUGCUGCUGGGCUCACAGACAGUGGAGCAAGAGAGUGGGCCCUCACUCAGGACGGACCCAGACAGCUGACAUCACUUCCUCUCACUGGUGUUGCUGUUGGCACCACAGCAGUGAGAACAGGAUUGAAGACAAAGCAGACAGCGUGAUGAAUUUGUCUGUAUUUUUUCUGUCAAUAACAAUUGUUUGUCUGUACAGUACAGUACAUCAAAAUAGUUUAAACGCA